Molecule: long non-coding RNA, 1505 nt
Filed under: Sus scrofa (pig)
Lineage: Eukaryota; Metazoa; Chordata; Mammalia; Artiodactyla; Suidae
Description: lncRNA (ENSSSCG00000051513.1)
Source: RNAcentral
AUUAAUACAAAUUCAUAAAGCAUUUAUCUUUUGAUGAAGAUAAAAUUCAAAGGCAGAAAUCUCUGGCUGGACAGAAAAAUGUUUAUUCUUUGGAGUCUUUUUGAUUAUUACAGGAGAUUGCAAGGAUGACUUCUUGGUGAUUUUAAUUACAUACAAUUUUUUUUCAUCUUGUUUCACUCCUGAAAAGUAGCAAUAAGUACAAUGUGAAAAUUAAUUUUUCCUCUUAAGAGAUAUGAAAAACUACAUUUUGAGAAUUUACUAGCACAUGAAGAUCACCUUGGCAUAUUUGUGAGCUGUUUAACAAUUUAUAAUCCUUCCAUGUAAAAUUUUAGUAUACAAUUUUUAAUCUCUGUAGCUAAAAAGUGAUGAAACAAGACAAUCAUAGGUACGAUGUCACUUUUCUACAAGUUGUUUAGAAACAUAAUGUUUUGAAGUUUUUCCGUUUUACAUACAACUCAAUUAAAGUUGUUACUUAGCUUCUUUGGAAUGACUCUGAAUUUAAUUGCUACUAAACUAAUUUGCUUUUCAAAACUGUUUUGGCUGUUAUAAUUGUAACCUAUUAGUUAUAUGCUAAACAACCAAGGUGGCACAUAGCUACUCUAAAUUCUACAAUAAUUAUGCCAGUUGUAAACUGACGCUCAGGAAAGAUUAGCUGUUGGAUGAAAAUUUAGUAAUUACUAAAAUCUGAGUAAAAACUAACCUUUUUAUUCAAGGUAUAAAUCCAAUCUUCAAAUUGACAAGACCAGGCAAAGAGUUUAAAAUGGUUUUUAGUUUAUUUGGGAAGAAUAUCUCUUUAGAAAUUAUUAUCAGCAUAUGGAGGCAUUUUGAAAAGUAAUACUAAAUGUUCUAAAAAUGAAACAAAAACACAAAACAAAGAACAAAGCCAAUCAUAUAAAAAUAUUUUUAAUUAAAAUGUAAUUCCAGACAAUGCAAAGAAUGAAAUUGGGAGGGCCUACAUAAUAAUGAGUCUCCUAUUUCUGCUUAAAUGUCAGAAGACUGCCCCUGUGAUGGUAGGUUGAGGUAGCUCUAGGCUGUGAGUUGAGAGGCACAUCUUACCCCUGUGCCUAAAUAACUUCAGUGUGAAAGGCUGAAAUUCUACUUCUAGAAGUAAGGUCAAUUCUGAAGGUCAGAAAGAGAAAGACAAAUACCAUAUGAUAUCACUUAUAUCUGGAAUCUAAUAUGUGGCACAAAAGAACGUUCCCAAAGAAAAGAAAUUCAUGGACUGGAAGAACAGACUUGUGGUUGCAAAGGGGGCAGAAGUGGGAUGAACUAGGAGUUUGGGGUUAAUAGAUACAAACUAUUGCAUUUGGAGUAGGUAAGCAAUGAGAUUCUACUGUAUAGCGCAGGGAACUGUAUAUAGUCACUUGUGAUGGAACAUAAUGGAGGAUAAUAUGAGAAAAAGAAUAUGUGUAUAUAUAUAUAUAUAUACAUAAUAUAUAUGUAUGUAUGAAUGGGUCACUUUGCUGUAUGUAGAAAUUGACAGAACACUGUAAAUGAACUAUAAU